Molecule: ribosomal RNA, 519 nt
Filed under: uncultured archaeon
Lineage: Archaea
Description: bacterial SSU rRNA
Rfam family: Archaeal small subunit ribosomal RNA
Source: RNAcentral
AGUGCUAGCACAUUUGUGUUAGCUUUUCUUUAGCGNAAAAAACUAGAGGAAUAAGGGCUGGGUAAGACGGGUGCCAGCCGCCGCGGUAAUACCUGCAGCCCAAGUGGUGGUCGAUUUUAUUGAGUCUAAAACGUUCGUAGCCGGUUCGAUAAAUCUUUGGGUAAAUCGGGGGGCUUAACCUUCCGACUUCCGAGGAGACUGCCGAACUUGGGACCGGGAGAGGCUAGAGGUACUUCUGGGGUAGGGGUAAAAUCCUGUAAUCCUAGAAGGACCACCGGUGGCGAAGGCGUCUAGCUAGAACGGAUCCGACGGUGAGGGACGAAGCCCUGGGUCGCAAACGGGAUUAGAUACCCCGGUAGUCCAGGGUGUAAACGCUGCAGACUUGGUGUUGGAGGCCCUUUGGGGGCAUUCAGUGCCGGAGAGAAGUUGUUAAGUCUGCUACUUGGGGAGUACGUCCGCAAGGAUGAAACUUAAAGGAAUUGGCGGGGGAGCACCGCAACGGGAGGAGCGUGCGGUUUA